RNAcentral lists this transfer RNA (65 nucleotides) under Neopanorpa pulchra. Its description in RNAcentral is "tRNA-Asn". Lineage: Eukaryota; Metazoa; Arthropoda; Insecta; Mecoptera; Panorpidae. The record is from RNAcentral.
UUAAUUGAAGCCAAAAAGAGGCUUAUCACUGUUAAUGAUAUUAUUGAAUAUAAAUUCCAAUUAAG